ACAAAAACAUCUUUUCUUGUUAGUUUUUGAAGUAUGGCCUGCCCACUGACAUUUGAGUUGAAGGGCCGCGGUAUUUUGACCGUGCAAAGGUAGCAUAAUCAUUAGUUCUUUAAUUGUGAUCUGGUAUGAAUGGCUUGACGAGAUAUAAACUGUCUUAAAGGUAUUUAUUGAAAUUGGGGUUUGAGUUAAAAUUCUUAAAUGUUUUUAUGGGACGAGAAGACCCUAUAGAGUUUGACAUUCAUUUUUCUAUAUUUUAGUUUGUUUUUGUUUAUUAGUUGAGUGAGUGUUUUGUUGGGGUGAUGGGAGGAAUUUUUUUAACUCCUCUUUAUUUUUAUAUAUUUAUAUAUAUUUGUUUGAUCCAUUUAUUUUGAUUAUAAGAUUAAAUUACCUUAGGGAUAACAGCGUUAUCUUCCCUGAGAGUUCUUAUUGGCGGGGAGGUUUGCGACCUCGAUGUUGGAUUAAGGUGAAUUUUCGGUGCAGAAGCUGAAAUUG
Molecule: ribosomal RNA, 492 nt
Filed under: Rhynchotermes bulbinasus
Lineage: Eukaryota; Metazoa; Arthropoda; Insecta; Blattodea; Termitidae
Description: partial 16S ribosomal RNA
Rfam family: Bacterial large subunit ribosomal RNA
Source: RNAcentral